Molecule: RNA transcript, 879 nt
Organism: Canis lupus familiaris (dog)
Lineage: Eukaryota; Metazoa; Chordata; Mammalia; Carnivora; Canidae
Gene name: collagen alpha-2(IV) chain-like
Exons: 3
Source: RefSeq, a predicted model, not a curated record
GGACUGGGGAAGGCAUGCGCUAGGUCCUGACCUUUAUCAGUGACUGUCCCUGUCCACCGCUUCCUGGGGGGAGUCUGGUGGCAGGUGCUCCAAACUUUCCAGUCUACCCACUGCAGGCAGUGGUGGGGUCCCCACGGAGAGCUGGGUUUUCCUUUCUGGGAGCUCCCCUCUGGCCAGAAGCCUUGGCCUCCAGUCCUUCCAGCAUUUUUCGGGCAUGUUCAUUGGGUUUGCACUUCCCUGCGCUGCCCUCGUGCACUGGCUUCUCCUUCACCUUCCUUAUGGUUUGUCCUCGCAGCUCGCCCUUCGCUCCCCAGCUCGCCAGCCCCCCAACCCGAGGCCCCCGGGGGCGCUCGGCUAUCCGGAGGAACCAGAACCCGGGUCGGGAUCCGCGCUGUUAGCAGGGAUGGGAGAGGUCGGGGGAGGGAGGCUGGGAUCUGGGGAGGAGACACGCGGCUGGCGCUGGGGAGAGCACCACCCGGGGCCACCGGGGAGCGACCUGCCGGGGGCGCACGGCGCCAAGCGCUGCCCUCGGGCGGGGCGCGCCCCGUUCGCGCGUGGGGUCAGUCACACGCAGCACGCCGCCCGCCGCCCGCGGGUCGAGAACCUUCCAGCUGGAACUUCCCAGAUUCCCGGCACCCUGUCUUCUCCCGCUUUCGGAUGCACGCUUCCUGAGAGCAGUGGCCUUGUAGGCGUUGUUUAGCACUGUAUUCUCACUACCUAAAACUGAGACUGGUUCAUGGAAGUGCUCUCAGCAACUUUCAGAGGUUCCGAGCGAUGCCCGACGCGGGUGGGAGCGAGAGCCCGCGCGCUCCCCGGCGGGCCUGAGCCCUGAGGGUGGCGCGCGGCCCCGGAGGCGGCCCCGGCCCCGGCCCCGGCCCC